UGCAGCUCUACAAAGGACACAAGGAUGUCCCCAUCCCAGCUCCUCUGCCUCCUGCUGCUCUGGGCUCAGGAGUCCAGGACAGUCACUGUGAUGACCCAGACUCCAGCCUCCCUGUCUGUGGCUCUGGGAGAGAAAGUCACCAUCAGCUGCAGGGCCAGUCAGGGCAUUUAUGGUAAUUUAGCCUGGUACCAGCAGCCUCCAGGAAAACCUCCCAAACUUCUUAUCUAUGAUGCUGAUGACCUAGAAUCUGGGGUCCCUGCCCGCUUCAGUGGCAGUGGGUCUGGGACAGAUUUUACUCUCAUAAUCAGCAGUGUGGAGGCUGAAGAUGUUGGACUUUAUUACUGUCAGCAGUAUGAGGAGUUCCCCACAAUGAUGGAGGCCUGA
Molecule: non-coding RNA, 384 nt
Organism: Gracilinanus agilis (Agile Gracile Mouse Opossum)
Lineage: Eukaryota; Metazoa; Chordata; Mammalia; Didelphimorphia; Didelphidae
Source: the annotation of a RefSeq genome assembly